CGGAGGGUGCGAGCGUUGUCCGGAAUCAUUGGGCGUAAAGGGCGCGUAGGUGGCCCGGCAAGCGUGCGGUGAAAGCUCGGGGCUCAACCCCGAGUCGGCCGUGCGAACUGCUGGGCUCGAGCACUGUAGAGGCAGGCGGAAUUCCGGGUGUAGCGGUGGAAUGCGUAGAGAUCCGGAAGAACACCGGUGGCGAAGGCGGCCUGCUGGGCAGUGGCUGACACUGAGGCGCGACAGCGUGGGGAGCAAACAGGAUUAGAUACCCUGGUAGUCCACGCCGUAAACGAUGGGCACUAGGCGCUUGGGGGAGCGACCCUCCGAGGGCCGGCGCUAACGCAUUAAGUGCCCCGCCUGGGGAGUACGGCCGCAAGGCUG
Molecule: ribosomal RNA, 372 nt
Filed under: uncultured organism
Description: bacterial SSU rRNA
Rfam family: Bacterial small subunit ribosomal RNA
Source: RNAcentral